RNAcentral lists this ribosomal RNA (868 nucleotides) under uncultured archaeon. Its description in RNAcentral is "bacterial SSU rRNA". It matches the Rfam family "Archaeal small subunit ribosomal RNA", at positions 1 to 878 of the family's 1478-position model. The record is from RNAcentral.
UCUCGGUUGAUCCUGCCGGACCCGACUGCUAUCAGAGUGGGACUAAGCCAUGCGAGUCAACGCAGCAAUGCGUGGCAUACGGCUCAGUAACACGUAGUCAACAUGCCCAGGGGACGUGGAUAACCUCGGGAAACUGAGGAUAAACCGCGAUAGGCCAAGGUUUCUGGAAUGGACACUGGCUGAAACCUACAUGGCCCCUGGAUUGGACUGCGGCCGAUCAGGCUGUUGGUGAGGUAAUGGCCCACCAAACCUGUAACCGGUACGGGCUUUGAGAGAAGGAGCCCGGAGAUGGGCACUGAGACAAGGGCCCAGGCCCUAUGGGGCGCAGCAGGCGCGAAACCUCUGCAAUAGGCGAAAGCUUGACAGGGUUACUCUGAGUGAUGCCCGCUAAGGGCAUCUUUUGGCACCUCUAAAAAUGGUGCAGAAUAAGGGGUGGGCAAGUCUGGUGUCAGCCGCCGCGGUAAUACCAGCACCCCGAGUGGUCGGGACGAUUAUUGGGCCUAAAGCAUCCGUAGCUUGUUCUGCAAGUCCUCCGUUAAAUCCACCUGCUCAACAGAUGGGCUGCGGGGGAUACUACAGGGCUAGGAGGCGGGAGAGGCAAACGGUACUCAGUGGGUAGGGGUAAAAUCCUCUGAUCCACUGAAGACCACCAGUGGCGAAGGCGGUUUGCCAGAACGCGCUCGACGGUGAGGGAUGAAAGCUGGGGGAGCAAACCGGAUUAGAUACCCGGGUAGUCCCAGCUGUAAACGAUGCAGACUCGGUGAUGGGUUGGCUUUGAGCCAACCCAGUGCCGCAGGGAAGCCGUUAAGUCUGCCGCCUGGGGAGUACGGUCGCAAGACUGAAACUUAAAGAAAUUGGCGGGGGAGCA